RNAcentral lists this small nuclear RNA (23 nucleotides) under Arabidopsis thaliana (thale cress). RNAcentral describes it as "snRNA_10876". The record is from RNAcentral. Lineage: Eukaryota; Viridiplantae; Streptophyta; Magnoliopsida; Brassicales; Brassicaceae.
AAUAGAACAUCUUUCUAAAAACU